ACUCAAAUGAAUUGACGGGGGCCCGCACAAGCGGUGGAGCAUGUGGUUCAAUUCGACGCAACGCGAAGAACCUUACCUGGGCUCGAAGCGCAGUGGAAUGCUGGGUAGAAAUACCCUCGACAUGAUUAAGACUGCUGCGGAGGUGCUGCAUGGCUGUCGUCAGCUCGUGUCGUGAGAUGUUGGGUUAAGUCCCGCAACGAGCGCAACCCUUAUCCCUAGUUGCCAUCGGGUCAAGCCGGGCACUCUAGUGAAACCGCCCCGGAUAACGGGGAGGAAGGUGGGGAUGACGUCAAGUCCUCAUGGCCUUUAUGUCCAGGGCUACACACGUGCUACAAUGCGCGGUACAAAGCGUCGCAAACCCGCGAGGGGGAGCUAAUCGCAAAAAGCCGUGCUCAGUUCGGAUUGGAGUCUGCAACCCGACUCCAUGAAGCUGGAAUCGCUAGUAAUCGCAGAUCAGAACGCUGCGGUGAAUACGUUCCCGGGCCUUGUACACACCGCCCGU
Molecule: ribosomal RNA, 502 nt
Filed under: uncultured bacterium
Lineage: Bacteria
Description: partial 16S ribosomal RNA
Rfam family: Bacterial small subunit ribosomal RNA
Source: RNAcentral